Girardinichthys multiradiatus is the source of this 691-nucleotide long non-coding RNA. RefSeq lists it as uncharacterized. The record is from RefSeq and is a predicted model, not a curated record. Lineage: Eukaryota; Metazoa; Chordata; Actinopteri; Cyprinodontiformes; Goodeidae. The transcript is spliced from 3 exons.
UGUUUUAUAUCAACAUCUGGACCAAAUCUUGACUCACAAUGACCCAUUAUUGACUUCUAAGUGCUUGGAGUUGAUCCCAGUCUGCUUAUCCACCUGCUGAAUGAGAACUGAUCACAGGUUUUCAUUUAGGUUCAAAUGUUGGGAGCUUCCAGACCACAGGCCCAAAAUGUCAAUAUUUUGAUGUUUUAGUCACCUUAUUUUACUCUUGCUUUGUGUCAUUGUUCUGUAUCAUACUGGGAAAUCAACAGAUUACCAUCAUAUAGUGCCUGGCCUAUCGGAAGAAGUUGCUCUUUGACCCCUGCACUUUAUUCAUGCCAGUGUUCAUGGACAGAACAGGAAGAAACCCACUGAUUUGGAGGGGAAGGACCUCAGUACAUGGAUUAUAUCAGGAUGCUUUACUGUUGGUAUGACAAUAAAGGUUGUUGAUGAGAAUGGCUAUGCGGCUAUCAUCAGCGGCGUUGGCUAACCCAAUAGCAGUUAUAUAGUCUCAAAGGACUCUUUCCAGCAGGGCCAUGGGAUCGGCCGCUCACCAGGCAAAGCAACUAUUAGAGAAAAAGCAUUCACCCUAUACUACAACAGCACAAAAUCGUGUUGCUGUCUGCACACUUUAUUAAUCCCAAAGGUCAAACUGAUGGAUUAAUAUCUCUUAAUAUCUAAAUAUCUUCAAAGACCGUGCAGAUGCUGAUGGCUG